RNAcentral lists this microRNA precursor (85 nucleotides) under Sorex araneus (European shrew). RNAcentral's name for it is "miRNA (ENSSARG00000016912.1)". The record is from RNAcentral. Lineage: Eukaryota; Metazoa; Chordata; Mammalia; Eulipotyphla; Soricidae.
GUAUUUGUGUGUGUGUGCGUGUAUGUGUAUAUAUAUGUACAUACACACACACACACACACACACACACACACACACACACACACA